AAAUGAAUUGACGGGGGCCCGCACAAGCGGUGGAGUAUGUGGUUUAAUUCGACGCAACGCGAAGAACCUUACCAGGGCUUGACAUCCUCUGACAGACUAGGAGACUAGUUGUUUUAUCUUCGGAUAGACAGGGAGACAGGUGGUGCAUGGUUGUCGUCAGCUCGUGUCGUGAGAUGUUGGGUUAAGUCCCGCAACGAGCGCAACCCUUAUCCUUAGUUGCCAGCAUUUAAGGUGGGCACUCUAGAGAGACUGCCGGUGACAAACCGGAGGAAGGUGGGGAUGACGUCAAAUCAUCAUGCCCUUUAUGUCCUGGGCUACACACGUACUACAAUGGCCUGUACAAAGGGUAGCGAAGCCGUGAGGUGGAGCCAAUCCCAAAAAGCAGGUCUCAGUUCGGAUUGCAGGCUGCAACUCGCCUGCAUGAAGUCGGAAUCGCUAGUAAUCGCGGAUCAGCAUGCCGCGGUGAAUACGUUCCCGGGCCUUGUACACACCGCCCGU
RNAcentral lists this ribosomal RNA (498 nucleotides) under uncultured bacterium. Its description in RNAcentral is "bacterial SSU rRNA". It matches the Rfam family "Bacterial small subunit ribosomal RNA", at positions 903 to 1397 of the family's 1533-position model. The record is from RNAcentral.